Dermacentor silvarum is the source of this 1489-nucleotide RNA transcript. RefSeq lists it as uncharacterized. The record is from RefSeq and is a predicted model, not a curated record. The transcript has 4 exons. NCBI's taxonomy places the organism in Eukaryota, Metazoa, Arthropoda, Arachnida, Ixodida, Ixodidae.
GACAAAGUGCGGUGACGCGUUGUGUUGCGAUUGGGCCGCACGUUUCGUGGCACGUGCAAGCAGGGCAUGACGGAACGCUUCGUGAUUGGACACGUGGCUAGCGUGGCCGCGCAGAGAGAGACCAACGCCUCCUAUAAAGCGGUGGAUGGUGUCCAGCUACGUGUCAUUUCGAACGCGACUGCGGCCUUCUCGCGGCAACAGAACCGCUUUUCCGAGCAACGUCCGUGGCUUUCUGGUGCCCCUCCGCUACCCCGAGCAGACGACCAGGGCCGCCGUCCGCUACCCGUUGACUGCAAGCGAGGUCUUUGGUUGUCUGGCAUUCUCCUGGCCUACCAGGAACAAGGAUACAAGGCGACUUCCUGGGACGCGCUGCGUUCUAGCGACGUCCGGCAACUCCAGGGACGAGUUUGUGCUGCUCCAUGAGACAGCCACUGGGGAGCCCCAGACCCGACAACCGGGUGCACGCCACCCGACACGCCACCGGCAUCCUGAGCCAUGCAUACGGGCCGCUGCUAGCAGGCAGCGCCAGUGCACGCACAUGAAGAACUAAAGGGCGCCCAUCGAACACUGAUGUCUUUCCGAGGACAACGUGGGAAACCUCCUGCGAUGACACUUUCUUCCUCGGAUGAGACGCUGUAUUAAGAGCCCCGAACAGACUACAGUCCUUCCUGCUCCAGACCACCCGCAUCCCACUUCAGGUCUUCGAACGUCUGCUACGUGGAAGCAACAUAUCUUGGUUUUGAGGCCCAUUGUGCUUAGGCACUUCGGCGGCCUUAGCAACACUUCCAGGGAAGACACCACAAUUAUGAAGACUUCUUACACGUGAGCGUGCUGCACUAUGCUGCGAGAACUCCAGGCUUACUGCCAAACGCAAUACUUGCAGUCGUACUUGCAGACGCCGGCGACAGAAGAGGACACCGAAUAAGCAGAUUUUCCCGGAGUGAUCACGGUGCAUGCCAUCGACAGUUCCCGGGCGUAGCGAAAUAUUCUUCUGGGCAAAGUCUUCCAGUGUCCAGGACGGUUCAUCAUGUGACAUGUUAUCCACGAAUGCCGACAGUCUGUGCAACCAGAAAGGCUGCAGGAGAUACUUUAAUCUAGCUUUUUAUUCCCCUCUCUCUUGUCAAGCAACAACUAGAACGAAAGCAUCGGUCUUCCUGUAUGAUAUCGUAACGUGUGGCCUGCUGUACGGAGAAGUAUUAAGGCUUGUUAGCGCAAGUGGUAGCGCGGGCGAUGGCAGCGCGGUUGAUAGCAGGGAUAAUACAUAUACGUAUUAUUCUUGCUAAUAACACUACCAAGCCAGCGAGGGAAAGAGCGUAGCCGCCCUCUGACUUACCCUUGUCUGUGUAUGAAGCGCUGUCCCAAACCAAAACUACCCCCCGAGGCGCGUGGCUCGGGUUUGGGGGCUGCUUGUGGAAUUGAAUGAUGACGACGGAAGCAAUGGUUGUGCGUUCUACUUUGUAGACCCCAACUCUUCCCCGAUCUGACAAGG